UAGUCAUAUGCUUGUCUUAAAGAUUAAGCCAUGCAUGUCUAAGUUUAAGUGUUCUUACAACGAAACCGCGAAUGGCUCAUUAAAUCAGUUAUAGUUUACUUGGUCGAUGCUUACUACUUGGAUAACUGUAGUAAUUCUAGAGCUAAUACAUGCAAAAAGCCCCAACCUUCUGGAAGGGGUGGCAUUAUCCACUUCAACGCUACUCAGGGUUCACGCCCUGUUUUACUUGAAUGGAGAUAAUUGUCCGAAUCGCGAGAACCGCAAGGCGGCGAUAGACCAACCAAGUUUCUGCCCUAUCAACUUGAUGGUAGUGUAUUGGACUACCAUGGUUAUAACGGGUAACGGGGAAUUAGGGUUCGAUUCCGGAGAGGGAGCCUGAGAGAUGGCUACCACUUCCAAGGAAGGCAGCAGGCGCGCAAAUUACCCAAUCUCAGUACGAGGAGGUAGUGACGAUAAAUAACGAUAUGGAUCCUUCGGGGUCCAUAAUCGGAAUGAGCACAAAGUAAAUAUCUUAACGAGGAACAAUUG
RNAcentral lists this ribosomal RNA (528 nucleotides) under uncultured eukaryote. RNAcentral describes it as "SSU rRNA". It matches the Rfam family "Eukaryotic small subunit ribosomal RNA", at positions 21 to 550 of the family's 1831-position model. The record is from RNAcentral.